Molecule: ribosomal RNA, 305 nt
Filed under: uncultured bacterium
Lineage: Bacteria
Description: bacterial SSU rRNA
Rfam family: Bacterial small subunit ribosomal RNA
Source: RNAcentral
GUGCCUACGGGAGGCAGCAGUCGGGAAUAUUGCGCAAUGGAGGAAACUCUGACGCAGUGACGCCGCGUGCAGGAAGAAGGUUUUCGGAUUGUAAACUGCUUUAGACAGGGAAGAAACAAGACAGUACCUGUAGAAUAAGCCCCGGCUAACUACGUGCCAGCAGCCGCGGUAAUACGUAGGUGACAAGCGUUGUCCGGAUUUACUGGGUGUAAAGGGCGCGUAGGCGGGAUAGCAAGUCAGUCGUGAAAUGCCGAGGCUUAACCUCGGAGCUGCGAUUGAAACUGUUAUUCUUGAGUAUCGGAGAG